GGCGUUCCUUCGGUACCGUCGAGUGACGGGGAAGAGCCCAGCGCUAAAUCCUGUUGCUCUAACGGGUAACGGGAGGUGUAGCGUAUAGUAGGCGAAUUUCCUUGAUGGCUGUCGACUUAAAUUCUCCUUGACUGGGGUUCCAGAGAAGGUGAAAGGCCUGUUCAGUCGAUGGCCGUCUUGGAUUCCGUUCUACUUGGAGUCGGGUUGUUUGGGAACGCAGCCCAAAUUGGGUGGUAAACUUCAUCUAAGGCUAAAUACGGCCACGAAACCGAUAGCAAACAAGUACCGUGAGGGAAAGUUGAAAAGUACUUUGAAGAGAGAGUUCAAGAGGACGUGAAACCGGUAGGAUGGAAACGGAUAGAGCCAACGAACAAGCCCGUAUUCAGCUAGUCGGCUGCGUGCGGCAUGCCUGUGUGCUCGUUCGGGGUGCAUGGGUGUGUGCGGUAUGCGGUCGGCUAGUGCAUUUGCGGGUGAUGUGCGCUGAGGCGUGUGGCGGAGUCCUGCAAACUGUCUGGAGAGGCCUCGCCUUCGCGGCUUGAAACCUACAGGCGGGGAGUAGGGUUUCUGCUGCAUGUAGACGAAGCGACUAGGUGCAAACGCGCUGUCGUGCUGUCGGGGCUAUCUGCUUGGCCGGUCUCAUGCGACUAGGUCUUGUUGGGUUGGUCUUGGCGGUGCGGCAGUGCCCUGGUUCGACCCUCGGUGUAAAAGUUGGUCAUCUCUCCGAACCCGUCUUGAAACACGGAUUA
RNAcentral lists this ribosomal RNA (746 nucleotides) under Cephalobus sp. SK-20. RNAcentral describes it as "eukaryotic LSU rRNA". It matches the Rfam family "Eukaryotic large subunit ribosomal RNA", at positions 71 to 668 of the family's 3401-position model. The record is from RNAcentral. Lineage: Eukaryota; Metazoa; Nematoda; Chromadorea; Rhabditida; Cephalobidae.